AGAGUUUGAUCAUGGCUCAGAUUGAACGCUGGCGGCAGGCCUAACACAUGCAAGUCGAACGGUAACAGGAAGCAGCUUGCUGCUUCGCUGACGAGUGGCGGACGGGUGAGUAAUGUCUGGGAAACUGCCUGAUGGAGGGGGAUAACUACUGGAAACGGUGGCUAAUACCGCAUAACGUCGCAAGACCAAAGAGGGGGACCUUCGGGCCUCUUGCCAUCAGAUGUGCCCAGAUGGGAUUAGCUUGUUGGUGAGGUAACGGCUCACCAAGGCGACGAUCCCUAGCUGGUCUGAGAGGAUGACCAGCCACACUGGAACUGAGACACGGUCCAGACUCCUACGGGAGGCAGCAGUGGGGAAUAUUGCACAAUGGGCGCAAGCCUGAUGCAGCCAUGCCGCGUGUAUGAAGAAGGCCUUCGGGUUGUAAAGUACUUUCAGCGGGGAGGAAGGUGUUGUGGUUAAUAACCACAGCAAUUGACGUUACCCGCAGAAGAAGCACCGGCUAACUCCGUGCCAGCAGCCGCGGUAAUACGGAGGGUGCAAGCGUUAAUCGGAAUUACUGGGCGUAAAGCGCACGCAGGCGGUCUGUCAAGUCGGAUGUGAAAUCCCCGGGCUCAACCUGGGAACUGCAUUCGAAACUGGCAGGCUUGAGUCUUGUAGAGGGGGGUAGAAUUCCAGGUGUAGCGGUGAAAUGCGUAGAGAUCUGGAGGAAUACCGGUGGCGAAGGCGGCCCCCUGGACAAAGACUGACGCUCAGGUGCGAAAGCGUGGGGAGCAAACAGGAUUAGAUACCCUGGUAGUCCACGCCGUAAACGAUGUCUACUUGGAGGUUGUGCCCUUGAGGCGUGGCUUCCGGAGCUAACGCGUUAAGUAGACCGCCUGGGGAGUACGGCCGCAAGGUUAAAACUCAAAUGAAUUGACGGGGGCCCGCACAAGCGGUGGAGCAUGUGGUUUAAUUCGAUGCAACGCGAAGAACCUUACCUGGUCUUGACAUCCACAGAACUUUCCAGAGAUGGAUUGGUGCCUUCGGGAACUGUGAGACAGGUGCUGCAUGGCUGUCGUCAGCUCGUGUUGUGAAAUGUUGGGUUAAGUCCCGCAACGAGCGCAACCCUUAUCCUUUGUUGCCAGCGAUUAGGUCGGGAACUCAAAGGAGACUGCCAGUGAUAAACUGGAGGAAGGUGGGGAUGACGUCAAGUCAUCAUGGCCCUUACGACCAGGGCUACACACGUGCUACAAUGGCGCAUACAAAGAGAAGCGACCUCGCGAGAGCAAGCGGACCUCAUAAAGUGCGUCGUAGUCCGGAUUGGAGUCUGCAACUCGACUCCAUGAAGUCGGAAUCGCUAGUAAUCGUGGAUCAGAAUGCCACGGUGAAUACGUUCCCGGGCCUUGUACACACCGCCCGUCACACCAUGGGAGUGGGUUGCAAAAGAAGUAGGUAGCUUAACCUUCGGGAGGGCGCUUACCACUUUGUGAUUCAUGACUGGGGUGAAGUCGUAACAAGGUAACCGUAGGGGAACCUGCGGUUGGAUCACCUCCUU
This 1534-nucleotide ribosomal RNA is filed under the name Salmonella enterica subsp. enterica serovar Heidelberg str. SL476. RNAcentral's name for it is "bacterial SSU rRNA". It matches the Rfam family "Bacterial small subunit ribosomal RNA". Lineage: Bacteria; Pseudomonadati; Pseudomonadota; Gammaproteobacteria; Enterobacterales; Enterobacteriaceae. The record is from RNAcentral.